UCCAUUCACACUGCGCCAUUCCCUCCAUUCGACUUCCCCGCCGAUCAACCUCCUUCUCCGUCACCGACUUCGGAGCCAUCGGCGACGGCCUCCACUACGACACCGCCGCCAUCCAGUCCGCCAUCAACAGCUGCCCCUCGCCUUCUCGCUGCUACGUCACGUUCCCACCAGGCACCUACCUGACCGCAACGAUCUGGCUUCAAUCUGGCGUCGUGCUGGACAUCCAGCCCGGAGCCACCGUGCUCGCCGGGACGAAGAUGGAGGACUAUCCGGCGGAUUCGUCGAGGUGGUACGCGGUGGUGGCGGAGAACGCGAGCGACGUCGGGAUCAGCGGCGGAGGCGCGGUGGACGGACAGGGGCUGAAAUUUGUGGAGAAGUUUGAUAAGAGGAAGAACGUGAUGGUGAGUUGGAACAAAACUGGGGCGUGCUAUGGCGAUGAGUGCAGGCCGGAUCUGAUUGGCUUCAUCAACUCCAACAAUGUUAGGGUUUCCAAUGUUAGCUUCAAUCAGCCUGCUCAUUGGUGCUUGCAUCUUGUUCGAUGUGACAACACAGUCAUUGAAGAUGUUUCGAUUUAUGGAGAUUUCGAUACACCCAACAACGAUGGGAUUGAUAUUGAGGACUCCAAUAAUACGUUCAUUACAAGGUGCAGAAUUGACACUGGGGAUGAUGCAAUCUGCCCCAAGACAUCUAAUGGCCCUGUCUUCAACUUAACCGCCACUAACUGCUGGAUACGAACUAAAUCUUCUGCCAUUAAGCUGGGGAGCGCCAGUUGGUUUAAUUUCACCCAAAUGCUUUUCGACAAUAUCACCAUCGUCGAUUCUCAUCGAGGUCUCGGGUUCCAGCUGCGCGAUGGAGGAAGUGCAAAUGAUAUUACAUUCUCAAACAUGAACAUCACUACAAGAUACUAUGACCCGUCAUGGUGGGGAAGAGCCGAGCCGAUUUACGUUACUACUUGUCCAAGAGAUGGAGGAUCGAAGGAGGGUUCGAUCUCAAACAUACGCUUCAUAAACAUCACGGCAACCUCAGAAAAUGGGGUGUUCUUAUCGGGAUCGAAAUCCGGGGUGCUGAGUAAUCUUAGAUUCACCAACGUGAAGCUGAGUUACAAAAGAUGGACAAAAUAUGGUGGUGGUUUAGUAGACUACAGACCAGGAUGCCAAGGGUUUGUUAAACAUGGGAUGGCAGGGAUGAUAAUGGAACACAUUGAAGGAUUGAAUUUAGAAAAUGUUGAUAUGAAUUGGUCUAAUAAUGAUGGAUCAUUACAAUGGAAUAAUCCUUUGGAUUUCAG
RNAcentral lists this unclassified non-coding RNA (1285 nucleotides) under Hevea brasiliensis (rubber tree). Lineage: Eukaryota; Viridiplantae; Streptophyta; Magnoliopsida; Malpighiales; Euphorbiaceae. The record is from RNAcentral.